AGCGAACGCUGGCGGCAGGCCUAACACAUGCAAGUCGAACGAAGUCUUCGGACUUAGUGGCGGACGGGUGAGUAACACGUGGGAACGUGCCCUUUGGUACGGAACAACUCAGGGAAACUUGAGCUAAUACCGUAUGUGCCCUUCGGGGGAAAGAUUUAUCGCCAUUGGAGCGGCCCACGUCUGAUUAGCUAGUUGGUGAGGUAAAGGCUCACCAAGGCGACGAUCAGUAGCUGGUCUGAGAGGAUGAUCAGCCACAUUGGGACUGAGACACGGCCCAAACUCCUACGGGAGGCAGCAGUGGGGAAUCUUGCGCAAUGGGCGAAAGCCUGACGCAGCCAUGCCGCGUGAAUGAUGAAGGUCUUAGGAUUGUAAAAUUCUUUCACCGGGGACGAUAAUGACGGUACCCGGAGAAGAAGCCCCGGCUAACUUCGUGCCAGCCGCCGCAGUAA
This 449-nucleotide ribosomal RNA is filed under the name uncultured bacterium. RNAcentral's name for it is "partial 16S ribosomal RNA". It matches the Rfam family "Bacterial small subunit ribosomal RNA", at positions 29 to 523 of the family's 1533-position model. The record is from RNAcentral.